GACGAACGCUGGCGGCGUGCUUAACACAUGCAAGUCGAACGGAAAGGCCCUGCUUUUGUGGCGUGCUCGAGUGGCGAACGGGUGAGUAACACGUGUGUAACCUGCCCUUGACUUUGGGAUAACUUCAGGAAACUGGGGCUAAUACCGGAUCGGAGCUCCUGCUGAAUGGUGGGGGUGGGAAAGUUUCUGCGGUUGGAGAUGGACUCGCGGCUUAUCAGCUUGUUGGUGGGGUAGUGGCUUAUCAAGGGUUUGACGGGUAGGCGGCCUGGGAGGGUGACCGGCGACAAGGGGACUGAGAUACGGCCCAGACUGCUACGGGAGGCAGCAGUGGCGAAUAUUGCACAGUGGGCGGAAGCCUGAGGCAGCAGCGCCGCGGGCGGGAUGACGGCCUGCUGGUUGUAAACCGCGUGCGCCUGUGACGAAGCGUGAGUGACGGUAAUGGGUAAAGAAGCACCGGCUAACUACGUG
This 468-nucleotide ribosomal RNA is filed under the name uncultured bacterium. RNAcentral's name for it is "partial 16S ribosomal RNA". It matches the Rfam family "Bacterial small subunit ribosomal RNA", at positions 28 to 507 of the family's 1533-position model. The record is from RNAcentral.